Molecule: ribosomal RNA, 497 nt
Filed under: uncultured bacterium
Lineage: Bacteria
Description: partial 16S ribosomal RNA
Rfam family: Bacterial small subunit ribosomal RNA
Source: RNAcentral
GAUGAACGCUGGCGGCGUGCCUAAUACAUGCAAGUCGAGCGAACAGACGAGGAGCUUGCUCCUCUGACGUUAGCGGCGGACGGGUGAGUAACACGUGGAUAACCUACCUAUAAGACUGGGAUAACUUCGGGAAACCGGAGCUAAUACCGGAUAAUAUAUUGAACCGCAUGGUUCAAUAGUGAAAGACGGUUUUGCUGUCACUUAUAGAUGGAUCCGCGCCGCAUUAGCUAGUUGGUAAGGUAACGGCUUACCAAGGCAACGAUGCGUAGCCGACCUGAGAGGGUGAUAGGCGACACUGGAACUGAGACACGGUCCAGACUCCUACGGGAGGCAGCAGUAGGGAAUCGUCCGCAAUGGGCGAAAGCUUGACGGAGCAACGCCGCGUGAGUGAUGAAGGUCUUCGGAUCGUAAAACUCUGUUAUUAGGGAAGAACAAAUGUGUAAGUAACUAUGCACGUCUUGACGGUACCUAAUCAGAAAGCCACGGCUAACUACGUG